Long non-coding RNA from Solanum lycopersicum (tomato), 2580 nucleotides. RefSeq lists it as uncharacterized. Lineage: Eukaryota; Viridiplantae; Streptophyta; Magnoliopsida; Solanales; Solanaceae. The record is from RefSeq and is a predicted model, not a curated record.
AUUAAAAUGGUUGUAGUUCAAUAUUAUUACUCACUGAGCUAGCGUCUCACUCCUCGCUAAUUCUUUUUUACAAUGAAUUCAAGUGGUAUUGAGGAUGAUAUCAUUAGCUAAAUAGUGAGAUUUGAUUGCAUAUGGUGAGACCCACAUUUCUCGUGUAGCAAGUGAACAUUUUAUCUGCUAUGUUUAUUUAGUUUCUUUAAACUCUUAGAGUCGCUCCAUUUGUCCAUUCUUAUUUAUAGUCAAGAUAUUAUUUCAAAUUGCAGUCAAGUGACUCAUUUUAACCUUUUUUUUCAUAUUUCGAGAUGAAUUGAUUUAUUUAUGUGACAAUUAGAUCAAUGAUGGAUAUUAUGUUGUAAUUUAUAGUUGUUAUUAGUUUUGUUAUGGAUGUCUGAGACAGGGAAAAUUUUUGAUAGACAUAAAAACAAAGGAAACUUUGCCCGAUUUUCUGCAGAAUACGAUAAGGAUUGCUUUGGGAUUUUCCCCCUUAGCGCCGGUCAUGAUCCUUAAUUAAAUCGUGAAAGUAGUUUUAUUUAAUGAUGUUUUCUCCUUCUUUUAUUUUUUUAACUUUUAAUGCUUUUUUUUACGUUAUUAACAUGAAAAGAAUCACCUACUACAAUUUAACAUCAUUUCAAUUUAUUAAACUUUAAUUAUACCUAUAAUCAUCAAAGAAUAUGACAAUAAGAAUAGAUUUGGACAAUAGUGCUAAUAGGAAAUAAACUAAGUUUUUUUUAUAACAAUUUCGCUCUUAGUCUAAUGAUAUAAAAACUCUAAACAUAAAGUUGAUAUGUACAUCUUUUAUAUCCCUUCAUGGAUUGCUUUGAAACCCGAUUUAUUUUCAUUUCAAGAUUUUCUUUUCUUUUUCUUUUUCUUUUUAUUUUUCUUUUAUUUUCUCUUUUUUUUAUUUGUAUGGAGGACUUCCAUUUAUCUUAAAACCCAUGGGUUUGCGAUACUUUUCUUGCAUUUCUUGACUUUUCCUUUUCCUUCUUAUCACACCCCCAACUUAGGCUUUUGGCCUAUGUUGUCUAUUCACUUAUAUAACAUCUCAAAAAUAUUAUAGGUGAUAGAUCACGUAAGAUCUAGGUUUCAUAAAGUUUUAUUUACAAUGAAGAGGUAAGGCUCAAAGGUUGUGAAAAAGAGUUUCACACACUCACGGGUAGGCCACAAAAGAGGUAUAUGUCAAACUUUUCUCACACUCUUAAGAAUAUCCUUAGAUCAUAUCAUGAGGAUACCUUUCUAAAUCAAUCAGACUAACCAGGGAAAUUCAAGGUUUAUUCAUGCAAGAUUCAAAGUAAGCUCAUCACACAAGGCAGUGACACUUAAGUCAAAAAGACAAAACACUUCUUCUAUUGUGCAAUGGUCAUUGCAAAAUAAUCAAUUCAAUAAUUGGAUAAUCACAACGAGAUGCAACGAGUUCACAUAUUGCCUAUGUAACUUCAUUUGUUCUAAUUGUAGCCGCACAUUCAUGUUUGUUCUAUUGAUAUUAGUGGUUAAGUCAUCAGUAUUAAUCAAAAUCGAGACAUAAACUUUUACAUGAACAACCACUUUCAAAACAAGAAGUUGCAAAAUUUCAAAAAUGAAAUGUUUCAGAAGGGUUAAAAUUAUUAUGAAAGUAGGACCCAAAAGAUAGUCAUAAGAUCAAACAUUUGAGAAAGCAAUUUAAAUAGACACUCCACCUAUGUACUAAAAGACACAAACAUUUAACAAAACUAACAAUAAAUAAAGGUGGACUUCACCCUACCACAAAUAAAUGCAUUUGUCCUGAAGUACAGUUCAUAUGAUACACGAAAGUUGAUGCAAAGUGAUACUGAUAAGAGAGUAAGGACAGAAAUCAUGUUCAAGUUGUUGUUUUAUUUGUUGGUGCAUUUCUCCCAUUGGAGACAUUAGGGGGUUUACUCAUUAUAGAAACUAGUAUUGCUUCCCAUAUAAAUGUUUGUUCCGUCUCCGCUAGUUCUUCUUAGCAACAUUAGAUGUGUCCUCGAAGAUGUCCUUUUUUAUCGAAGUCUUUGGUUCAAGCUUAGUCACUUCUCCAGAAAUAAAGAUGGAAUUACCUUGUUGUACCUCACUUUGCAUUAUCUUGAUCACAUCCUUGAAUGUUGCAAUCUUAGCGGUGCUUCUUUUGUUGCAUUCGCACACUGCUAUUCUUGUAUGAAGUUCAUGAACAGUUGUUUUUAGCGCUGUAACAACAUUAGUCAAAGUAGUCUGGAUCAUUCAUGCAAUAGAGGUUUAUAGGUCAUCAAUCAGAAGAUCUACACACUGAGGGACUUUGCAAUUUUUUUCCAUAUUUUCUUGCAACAAGUUUCUUCAUGUUGACUUUUCUAAGUGUAUUUGUUCACUUGCGUACCUCCAGUUGCUUUCCAUUGAGGCGACAUUAACUUUCUUGCAACUUCAGAUCUUGUCAUACCUACAACCACAAGUAUACUCAAAUGUUGUUAAUAAUGUUGAACUGGGUUUUGGUUGAUAUUUCAGCUCACUCAAACUGGAGAACAGCAGAUAUGAUUAGGUAGACAAAAUUCAAGAUGUCAAAUAUUGCAAUUUAAUAUGCAUUUAUGAGUUAAUCGGUUGAUCGCUCAAUAAUUGGUA